GAUGAACGCUGGCGGCGUGCCUAAUACAUGCAAGUCGAACGCACAGCGAAAGGUGCUUGCACCUUUCAAGUGAGUGGCGAACGGGUGAGUAAAACGUGGACAACCUGCCUCAAGGCUGGGGAUAACAUUUGGAAACAGAUGCUAAUACCGAAUAAAACUCAGUGUCGCAUGACACAAAGUUAAAAGGCGCUUUGGCGUCACCUAGAGAUGAUCCGCGGUGGAUGAGUUAGUUGGUGGGGUAAAGGCCUACCAAGACAAUGAUGCAUAGCCGAGUUGAGAGACUGAUCGGCCACAUUGGGACUGAGACACGGCCCAAACUCCUGCGGGAGGCUGCAGUAGGGAAUCUUCCACAAUGGGCGAAAGCCUGAUGGAGCAACGCCGCGUGUGUGAUGAAGGCUUUCGGGUCGUAAAGCACUGUUGUAUGGGAAGAACAGCUAGAAUAGGGAAUGAUUUUAGUUUGACGGUACCAUACCAGAAAGGGACGGCUAAAUACGUGCCAGCCGCCGCGGUAA
RNAcentral lists this ribosomal RNA (512 nucleotides) under uncultured bacterium. Its description in RNAcentral is "partial 16S ribosomal RNA". It matches the Rfam family "Bacterial small subunit ribosomal RNA", at positions 28 to 523 of the family's 1533-position model. The record is from RNAcentral.